UGGACAGAGUAGAUCGAAUCCAGAUUACGCCA
Molecule: non-coding RNA, 32 nt
Filed under: Rattus norvegicus (Norway rat)
Lineage: Eukaryota; Metazoa; Chordata; Mammalia; Rodentia; Muridae
Source: RNAcentral